AGCACAUGAGUAGCAAUACGAUGGUGGCGACCGGCGCACGGGUGAGUAACACGUAUGCAACCUACCUCUAACAGGGGGAUAACCCGUUGAAAGACGGACUAAUACCCCAUAAUACAGGGGCUCCGCAUGGAGAUAUUUGUUAAAGAUUUUAGUCGGUUAGAGAUGGGCAUGCGUUCCAUUAGCUAGUUGGUGAGGUAACGGCUCACCAAGGCGACGAUGGAUAGGGGAACUGAGAGGUUUAUCCCCACACUGGAACUGAGACACGGUCCAGACUCCUACGGAGGCAGCAGUGAGGAAUAUUGGUACAAUGGAGGCAACUCUGAACCAGCCAAGUCGCGUGAAGGUAAUGAAGGUCUUAUGGAUUGUAAACUUCUUUUGCAGGGGAAUAAAUAGCGGUACGUGUACCGUUUUGCAUGUACCCUGCGAAUAAGGAUCGGCUAACUCCGUGCCAGCAGCUGC
RNAcentral lists this ribosomal RNA (459 nucleotides) under uncultured bacterium. RNAcentral's name for it is "bacterial SSU rRNA". It matches the Rfam family "Bacterial small subunit ribosomal RNA", at positions 68 to 518 of the family's 1533-position model. The record is from RNAcentral.